Molecule: transfer RNA, 76 nt
Filed under: Endomicrobium sp.
Lineage: Bacteria; Pseudomonadati; Elusimicrobiota; Endomicrobiia; Endomicrobiales; Endomicrobiaceae
Description: tRNA-Asp
Rfam family: tRNA
About the family: Transfer RNA (tRNA) molecules are approximately 80 nucleotides in length. Their secondary structure includes four short double-helical elements and three loops (D, anti-codon, and T loops). Further hydrogen bonds mediate the characteristic L-shaped molecular structure. tRNAs have two regions of fundamental functional importance: the anti-codon, which is responsible for specific mRNA codon recognition, and the 3' end, to which the tRNAs corresponding amino acid is attached (by aminoacyl-tRNA synthetases). tRNAs cope with the degeneracy of the genetic code in two manners: having more than one tRNA (with a specific anti-codon) for a particular amino acid; and 'wobble' base-pairing, i.e. permitting non-standard base-pairing at the 3rd anti-codon position.
Source: RNAcentral
GGGGACGUAGUGUAGUCUGGUUUAACACACUGCCCUGUCAAGGCAGAGAUCGCGGGUUCAACUCCCGUCGUCCCCG